RNAcentral lists this ribosomal RNA (491 nucleotides) under uncultured bacterium. RNAcentral's name for it is "bacterial SSU rRNA". It matches the Rfam family "Bacterial small subunit ribosomal RNA", at positions 36 to 506 of the family's 1533-position model. The record is from RNAcentral.
CUGGCGGCGUGCCUAAUACAUGCAAGUCGAGCGGACCUGUUUUAAAGCUUGCUUUAAAACAGGUUAGCGGCGGACGGGUGAGUAACACGUGGGCAACCUGCCCGUAAGACCGGGAUAACUUACGGAAACGUGAGCUAAUACCGGAUAGGUUUCCUUCCCGCAUGGGAGGGAAAGGAAAGGUGGCGUAAGCUACCACUUACGGAUGGGCCCGCGGCGCAUUAGCUAGUUGGUGGGGUAAUGGCCUACCAAGGCGACGAUGCGUAGCCGACCUGAGAGGGUGAUCGGCCACACUGGGACUGAGACACGGCCCAGACUCCUACGGGAGGCAGCAGUAGGGAAUCUUCCGCAAUGGACGAAAGUCUGACGGAGCGACGCCGCGUGAGCGAUGAAGGUCUUCGGAUCGUAAAGCUCUGUUGUUAGGGAAGAACAAGUACCGGAGUAACUGCCGGUACCUUGACGGUACCUAACCAGAAAGCCCCGGCUAACUACGU